This 300-nucleotide ribosomal RNA is filed under the name uncultured bacterium. Its description in RNAcentral is "bacterial SSU rRNA". It matches the Rfam family "Bacterial small subunit ribosomal RNA", at positions 114 to 429 of the family's 1533-position model. The record is from RNAcentral.
CGCGUAAGAACCUGCCCUUGGGAGGGGGACAACAGCUGGAAACGGUUGCUAAUACCCCAUAGGCUGAGGAGCAAAAGGGAGGGAUCCGCCCGAGGAGGGGCUUGCGUCUGAUUAGCUGGUUGGUGGGGCAGUGGCCUACCAAGGCGACGAUCAGUAGCUGGUCUGAGAGGAUGAUCAGCCACACUGGGACUGAGACACGGCCCAGACUCCUACGGGAGGCAGCAGUGGGGAAUCUUCCGCAAUGGGCGAAAGCCUGAUCCAGCAAUGCCGCGUGAGUGAUGAAGGCCUUAGGGUUGUAAA